RNAcentral lists this ribosomal RNA (265 nucleotides) under uncultured prokaryote. RNAcentral describes it as "partial 16S ribosomal RNA". It matches the Rfam family "Bacterial small subunit ribosomal RNA", at positions 524 to 788 of the family's 1533-position model. The record is from RNAcentral.
UACGUAGGGGGCUAGCGUUAUCCGGAUUUACUGGGUGUAAAGGGAGCGCAGACGGAACUGCAAGUCUGAUGUGAAAGCCCGGGGCUCAACCGCGGGACUGCAUCGGAUACUGUAGAUCUGGAGUGCCGGAGGGGCAAGCGGAAUUCCUGGUGUAGCGGUGAAAUGCGUAGAUAUCAGGAGGAACACCGGCGGCGAAGGCGGCUUGCUGGACGGCAACUGACGUUGAGGCUCGAACGCGUGGGGAGCAAACAGGAUUAGAUACCCU